GGGAAUGUAGCUCAGUGGUAAAGCGCUUGCCUCGCAUGCAAGAGAGAUCCUGGAUUCAACCCCU
This 64-nucleotide transfer RNA is filed under the name Marmota marmota marmota (Alpine marmot). It matches the Rfam family "tRNA", at positions 1 to 61 of the family's 71-position model. From Rfam's summary of the family: Transfer RNA (tRNA) molecules are approximately 80 nucleotides in length. Their secondary structure includes four short double-helical elements and three loops (D, anti-codon, and T loops). The record is from Rfam by way of RNAcentral. RNAcentral also lists the same sequence under 3 other names. Lineage: Eukaryota; Metazoa; Chordata; Mammalia; Rodentia; Sciuridae.